GAUGAACGCUAGCGGCAGGCUUAACACAUGCAAGUCGAGGGGUAUGAGAAGCUUGCUUCCCGGAGACCGGCGCACGGGUGCGUAACGCGUAUGCAACCUACCUUGAACAGGGGGAUAGCCCAGAGAAAUUUGGAUUAAUACCCCAUGGUAUAUUUGAGUGGCAUCACUCGACUAUUAAAGUUCCAACGGUUCAAGAUGGG
This 200-nucleotide ribosomal RNA is filed under the name uncultured bacterium. RNAcentral's name for it is "partial 16S ribosomal RNA". It matches the Rfam family "Bacterial small subunit ribosomal RNA", at positions 28 to 229 of the family's 1533-position model. The record is from RNAcentral.